Ameiurus melas (black bullhead) is the source of this 73-nucleotide non-coding RNA. NCBI's taxonomy places the organism in Eukaryota, Metazoa, Chordata, Actinopteri, Siluriformes, Ictaluridae. The record is from the annotation of a GenBank genome assembly.
GGCACGGUGGCUUAGUGGUUAGCAUGUUUGUCUCACAACUCCGGGGUUGGGGGUUCAAAUCCUGUCUCUGCCC